Molecule: small RNA, 107 nt
Filed under: Marmota monax (woodchuck)
Lineage: Eukaryota; Metazoa; Chordata; Mammalia; Rodentia; Sciuridae
Source: RNAcentral
GCUGGGUGUUGUGGCGCAUGCCUGAAAUCCCAGCCACUCAGGAAGCUGAGACAGGAGGAUUACAAGUUCGAGGCUGGCCUCAGCAAUUUAGCAAGUCCCUGUGUCAA